RNAcentral lists this ribosomal RNA (482 nucleotides) under uncultured bacterium. RNAcentral describes it as "partial 16S ribosomal RNA". It matches the Rfam family "Bacterial small subunit ribosomal RNA", at positions 30 to 507 of the family's 1533-position model. The record is from RNAcentral.
AUUGAACGCUGGCGGCAUGCUUUACACAUGCAAGUCGAACGGUAACAGGCCGCAAGGUGCUGACGAGUGGCGAACGGGUGAGUAAUGCAUCGGAACGUGCCCAGUCGUGGGGGAUAACUACUCGAAAGAGUAGCUAAUACCGCAUACGAUCUAUGGAUGAAAGCGGGGGACCGUAAGGCCUCGCGCGAUUGGAGCGGCCGAUGUCAGAUUAGGUAGUUGGUGGGGUAAAGGCUCACCAAGCCAACGAUCUGUAGCUGGUCUGAGAGGACGACCAGCCACACUGGGACUGAGACACGGCCCAGACUCCUACGGGAGGCAGCAGUGGGGAAUUUUGGACAAUGGGCGCAAGCCUGAUCCAGCAAUGCCGCGUGCAGGAAGAAGGCCUUCGGGUUGUAAACUGCUUUUGUACGGAACGAAACGGCUCUGGUUAAUACUCGGGGCUAAUGACGGUACCGUAAGAAUAAGCACCGGCUAACUACGUG